UGGGGAAUAUUGGACAAUGGGGGAAACCCUGAUCCAGCAAUGCCGCGUGUGUGAAGAAGGCCUUCGGGUUGUAAAGCACUUUCAGUAGAGAAGAAAGGCUCAAGGCUAAUAUCCUUGAGAGUUGACAUUAUCUACAGAAGAAGCACUGGCUAACUCUGUGCCAGCAGCCGCGGUAAUACAGAGAGUGCAAGCGUUAAUCGGAAUCACUGGGCGUAAAGCGCACGUAGGUUGAUGCUAUAGUCGGAUGUGAAAGCCCUGGGCUUAACCUAGGAAUUGCACCCGAUACUGGGCAUCUAGAGUAUAGUAGAGGGAAGUGGAAUUUCCGGUGUAGCGGUGAAAUGCGUAGAUAUCGGAAAGAACACCAGUGGCGAAGGCGACUUCCUGGACUAAUACUGACACUGAGGUGCGAAAGCGUGGGGAGCAAACAGGAUUAGAUACCCCCGUAGUCC
RNAcentral lists this ribosomal RNA (449 nucleotides) under uncultured prokaryote. RNAcentral's name for it is "bacterial SSU rRNA". It matches the Rfam family "Bacterial small subunit ribosomal RNA", at positions 355 to 796 of the family's 1533-position model. The record is from RNAcentral.